GCAGACAGGAAGUUUGGAUGUACACAUGCAGCCUAUUCUUGUUCCCCCACCCAAAACCCCAGCGCCCAAAGCCUGAAACUGGGGGAAGGGAGGCAGAAGGAGAGGAGGGUUUGGGUUGGGGGGAAUUUUAAACUGACUCCGAGUCUGGCCGCCUUGGUUCCCUCGGAGAUUGGAAACCUUUUUCUUCCCUCGAGUGUUUCACCCCCACCGGCUGCAAAGGGCCUUGUCCCUUGAGAAAUGAGAAAUCAAAUCCAGAGAAAAGCAGACACCUGCCCCGGAAGGGGGAGGGGGCGAGCUUUUCAGCAUCCGGACGCGGCCCUUCCCGGCGGCUGGAUCCAUCCAUCUGUGGGAGCUCCGAGUUGUCCCAGCCGAGCGGUUGGGGAGGAGGACAGCCGGCGGCCGGGGGUAGCGGGGCGGGGGGUGGGGGGGUGGGGUGGGGGUGGAGGUGAUGAAAAGAGGCGCGGCGGGUUGGGCCAGGACGUGGCUGGCGAGUGGCCCGUGCGCUCCCAAAGCCCCAGGAGAACCAGGCGCCCAGCGCUGGGGACACGGAGGCGCUGCUGAGGGAGGCGGUCCUGCCCUCCACCCAGCCCCUUCACUCCCGGUCGAGCAGCCGCGGGCGCCAGCGGCCGAGUCUGCGCGCUUCCAGGCUUGGACUUUUUCAUUUUUUCCUAGCCGGGCAAAGUUACGGGAUUCCUAGCAGCCCCCAGGCGCGCGGCCAGAGUGGCUCCGCGCUUGCGCGAGAACCCAGCGCCAGAAGGGCACGUGGAAAUUCUCCGCCAAAGCGCCUUGCCCGGGCGAGUGCUCAACUCGGUGAUUUAUAAACAGCUCAGCCACUCCCCAAAGACCUCCGCUCCUCGUUAGUCAUGAUGAAUUCUCCGGCCCGUUCCACUUUGCUGUCUAGAUUAAGAUGCUCGGAGGCCCCAAAGUGCUCCCCUUGAGCGUUGAUUUGGCUUCCCUCACAAACUCACGAUCGCCGGCAACGCCAGCACUAAAGGCAACGACGGAGGGUCGGAGGGCGGAGGGUGAGAGUAUUCGCGCGGUACACUCGAGCGUGCGUGGUUGCUCCGCUGCUACAGCACCGGCCUGCGCCGGAUCCUCCUACCCUUGCUAGCAGGCUCCGAAAGCGGCGGCAGGCACCUGCUCCGGGUGGCUGCGGCGCUGACGGCGCGACGCGCUCGUGCUGGGUAGAACCG
Long non-coding RNA from Bos taurus (domestic cattle), 1193 nucleotides. The record is from Ensembl. NCBI's taxonomy places the organism in Eukaryota, Metazoa, Chordata, Mammalia, Artiodactyla, Bovidae.